This 245-nucleotide ribosomal RNA is filed under the name uncultured bacterium. Its description in RNAcentral is "partial 16S ribosomal RNA". It matches the Rfam family "Bacterial small subunit ribosomal RNA", at positions 524 to 766 of the family's 1533-position model. The record is from RNAcentral.
UACAGAGGGUGCUAGCGUUAUCCGGAUUUAUUGGGCGUAAAGCGAUUCGUAGGCGACUUGGUAAGUUACACUUCAAAGCCCGGGGCUUAACCUCGGAAAGGGGCGUAAUACUAUCAAGAUUGAAAGGUCUGGGGGCUUACCGGAACUGUCGGUGUAGGGGUGAAAUCCGUUGAUAUCGACAGGAACACCAAGGGCGAAGGCGGGUAGCUACGGACUCUUUGACGCUGAGGAUCGACCGCUAGGGG